Molecule: unclassified non-coding RNA, 269 nt
Filed under: Hevea brasiliensis (rubber tree)
Lineage: Eukaryota; Viridiplantae; Streptophyta; Magnoliopsida; Malpighiales; Euphorbiaceae
Source: RNAcentral
GGGACGCACGUGCUAUCGCCUCUCAUUACGUUCGUUCCUUCAAAGGCUUCUGGUUUGAUGCCUUUGUCAUCCUCCCUGUUCCUCAGAUUGUUUAUUGGUUUGUUUUACCAAAACUGAUCAGAGAAGAGAGAAUAAAACUUAUAAUGACAGUUGUCUUAUUAAUGUUCUUGUUCCAAUUCCUCCCAAAAGUUUACCACUCCAUUAUUUUAAUGAGAAGAAUGCAGAAGGUCACUGGAUACAUCUUCGGCACCAUUUGGUGGGGUUUUGGC